GAAGGGCUCUCCCGGGAUGUGAGGGGUUUUCCCGGGAUGUGAAGGGCUCUCCCGGGAUGUGAGGGGUUUCCCGGGAUGUGAGGGGUUUCCCGGGAUGUGAGGGGUUUCCCGGGAUGUGAGGGGUUUUCCCGGGAUGUGAGGGGUUUCCCAGGAUGUGAGGGGGUUUCCCAGGAUGUGAGGGUUUCCCGGGAUGUGAGGGGUUUCCCGGGAUGUGAGGGGGUUUCCCAGGAUGUGAGGGGUUUCCCAGGAUGUGAGGGCUCUCCCAGGAUGUGAGGGGUCUCCCAGGAUGUGAGGGUUUCCCGGGAUGUGAGGGGCUCCCUCCUCUCUCCCCAGCUGACGCUCCUGCUCAUCCUGGAGGACAAACUGCACCGGCAGCUCAGCUACGACCUCCUGCCCUCUGACAACUCCAAGGAUCUGGCCACCGAGCUGGUGCAUUACGGAUUCAUCCACGAGGACGACUGCGAGAAGCUGGCCGCGUUCCUGGAGAGCGCCUUCCACAAGCACCGCUCCCCGCUGCUGUGAGCCCGCGGGACACGGACCGACCCCCCCGGGCAGGGAUGUGCUGGACUUGGGGGUCCGGGGGCUCCCGGGCCACCUCCCCGCAGCAGGACUGAGCCCCGGGCCCCGCCCGAGCCCGGGGGGCUUCGCCCGAGCCGCGCUCCGGGAGCCGGCGGAGCAAACGCCGGGAAUUCCGUCCCGGGGCGCCGGGAGGAGCCGCGGCCGAGGGAGGUGUGGGGCAGUGGGCAGCCCCCCCCGAGGGAGGUGUGGGGCAGUGGGCAGCACCCCCCGAGGGAGGUGUGGGGCAGUGGGCAGCCCCCCCUGCGGCCCCUUCCUGCGGGAACCCCCGAGCGGAUCCCUUUCCCUCUGGGAAUGAUCGGCUGUUCCCGCCGCGGGUCCCAAAGCUGGUUUCCCCCCCGCUUUGCCAUCCGGGGGAACUUGCUGAGGGGAGGAGAGGAGAGGGCUCGGAAAGCUCCGGGGCGGCUUCCCAUCUCUGCCGCGUUCCACUCCCCAGCCCGAAUUGGUGCCGUUUAAGGUUUCCCCGCGCUCAGCAGCCCCGGGGUGAGCUGGGAGGGGGCUGUGGGAGCUGGGAGGGGGCUGUGGGAGCUGGAGGGGGCUGUGGGAGCUGGGAGGGGGCUGUGGGAGCUGGGAGGGGGCUGUGGGAGCUGGGGGUGACACGGCUCCAGAGGCGAUCCCAGAAAUCCCGACCCACCCGCUGGAUCAGCUGGAACCUCUGCAGAACCCUCGUCAUUCCCCUCUCAGAGCUUCCGAAAUCCCUCGGCACCCUCGGGGGGAAGCCCUGCUGCCUCUCCCUGCCCUUUCUCCCGCGGUGCUGUGGAAUGUCAGUCCCUGGCCCGGGGAAAUGGGAAUUGCUGCCCUCACCCCCCCAGUGCCGCCCUCACCCCCCCAGUGCUGCCCUCACCCCCCCAGUGCUGCCCUCACCCCCUCAGUGCUGCCCUCACCCCCUCAGUGCUGCCCUCACCCCCCCAGUGCUGCCCUCACCCCCUCAGUGCUGCCCUCACCCCCUCAGUGCUGCCCUCACCCCCCCAGUGCCGCCCUUGGCAGAGGGGUUGGUUUGGGGAAAAGUGCAAAUAGGAAUUGGUUGUGUCCGAGAGCCCCGGGGGGCUGCUCCUGCUGUGCCAGGGAAAACCAGCUCUGGAAUCCUGCCCUGUGCUGUGCCAGUGCUGCUCCUGCUG
Molecule: long non-coding RNA, 1694 nt
Organism: Pipra filicauda (Wire-tailed manakin)
Lineage: Eukaryota; Metazoa; Chordata; Aves; Passeriformes; Pipridae
Exons: 3
Source: RefSeq, a predicted model, not a curated record